This 174-nucleotide ribosomal RNA is filed under the name Schisandra henryi. RNAcentral's name for it is "5.8S ribosomal RNA". The stretch from base 5 to 160 matches the Rfam family "5.8S ribosomal RNA". From Rfam's summary of the family: 5.8S ribosomal RNA (5.8S rRNA) is a component of the large subunit of the eukaryotic ribosome. Lineage: Eukaryota; Viridiplantae; Streptophyta; Magnoliopsida; Austrobaileyales; Schisandraceae. The record is from RNAcentral.
AGAUGACUCUCGGCAACGGAUAUCUAGGCUCUUGCCACGAUGAAGAACGUAGCGAAAUGCGAUACUUGGUGUGAAUUGCAGAAUCCCGUGAACCAUCGAGUUUUUGAACGCAAGUUGCGCCCGAGGCCACCUGGCUAAGGGCACGCCUGCCUGGGCGUCACGCUUUGCGUCGCU